Molecule: long non-coding RNA, 936 nt
Filed under: Anser cygnoides (Swan goose)
Lineage: Eukaryota; Metazoa; Chordata; Aves; Anseriformes; Anatidae
Description: lncRNA (ENSACDG00005001618.1)
Source: RNAcentral
GUAUGAUGGACUUCAGUCUCUACAUUAUCUUAUAUGCAUAUGAAGAUGGUUCAUAUCUGCUAACAUUAUUUACUGCUAAGCAGAAUGUUUUAGAGAUCACAGUUGUGCAUCACGAUUACAUAGAUCCAAGCAACUUAAUGUUUACCGAAAUUAAAGUCCUGCGCAUGACCACCAACGUUCACCAGCUGGGACAAUUCCAUCAGCUUAUGUGCUGAGCUACAACAGCACCACCCAGGGCUUGUCAGAGCACAGCAUGUUAGCUGAACUACACGCAUUUCGGCCAGGGGGAACGGCUUUUACUGAAUCCCCAAGAUAAUAAUUCAUCAGGAACUCAUUCAGACUGAGAAAUCACAGCUUCCAACAGGUGUUGGCUGCCUCAGGGAGGUGCUCCCCACUCUGUCUCUUCCCAAUGGCUGAGGAAAUGAGGAUUGUGGCCAGGUUUUUGUGCUGGGGGCAUCAGGAGCAUUUUCCGUGAGGAGAGACCAGGGGCUGCCACUGCCAGCACAGCCCCUUCCAGCCGAACUGCCACAGCACGUGGCUGAGCCCAUCAGCAACCUGGGUGGUGCCUCUGUAAUAACGUAUCUAGGAAAGGGUAAAAAAAAUCAUGGUGGUGCAGCUCUGAGAGAGAGGAGUGAGGAAAAAUGUGAGACAACCAGCCCUGCAGACACCAAGAAAGAGGGGCAGGAGGUGCUCCAGGUGCUGAAGGAGAGGUUCACCUGCAGUCCGUGGUGGGGAGGACCGUGGCAGAGCAGGCUGGCCCCCUGCGGCCCUUGGAAGACCACUGUGGAGCAGAUAUCCACACUGUAGCCCAUGGAGGACUUCACACAGGAGCAGGAGAAUAUGCCCUGAAUGGAUCUGCAGCCCAUGGGGAGCCCACGCAGGCUCAGGCCUCUGUCAGGAGCUGCGGCUUGCUGGGGACCCGCACUGCAACAGUCG